This is a long non-coding RNA of Xiphophorus hellerii (green swordtail), 1365 nucleotides long. RefSeq lists it as uncharacterized. The transcript is spliced from 2 exons. Lineage: Eukaryota; Metazoa; Chordata; Actinopteri; Cyprinodontiformes; Poeciliidae. The record is from RefSeq and is a predicted model, not a curated record.
CGUGACUACAGUUCUAGUUAAAGGGAAGUUCUGCAACCACUUCCGCUCACUUUUUCUGUCGCAUCUUUGCGGUUCGGCUGGCAGAACUUGCGCCUCGCACUCACCAGCAGACCCGAUGGGAAACGUAGAAGAAGAGGAAAAGUUUGGGCCUUACUUUGAGCCUUCGACUGGAAAAAAGCGGCAAUGAAGAAGUCUUGUGACUGGGAUUUGUCCCGCCGCUCUCCCCUCUCCUCCUCCUCCUUCAGCUGGAGCUGCUUAUGUCGACAGCAGUAAACUUGAGGAGAAAAUCCUGCGUCAUCCUCCACAGCGGAAAAACCUCGGCUUUCACACGGCGCGUAAACACGAAGCGAGCGCGUUUUGAUAUGGUUUAUCUACCCGAACACGACACAUUGGACCUGACUGUAUUUUUCUGUAUUUACCCGUUUUUUUUUUUGCCACUUAAAACUGCAACAUGUAAGCUAAGUGUCACGUAAGCGACACACGACUACAACUUCCGGUUUUGUCCUUCAAAUCUCAAAACUGUCGAAUCUGCUUUUCAAUCACAACAUAACAAAUUUUACAAUCAUAUACUCAAUAUCAGAGGUGUGUUCUUACAGAUUUAUUCGUGUCUUUGGGAUGUGAAUCUAAGUCUUCUUUUUCUUUCUUUUCUAAAAAAAGUUAAACUGUGAAUUUUAUUUUCGAGGCAUGAGGAUGUUUAUUUCCGGUUACACUUUUGCACUUGAUAAGAAAAUACUAAAUAUCUAAAAACCAGGACAACUAGUCGAGUGAAGAGUCGUUGCUUGUCCUUUUGAUGUGUGUAUGGCGUUUUUAAAUGGGUCAGUGGAGCAGUUUUACUAAUCAGUCCUCGAUGUUUUCCUAAAUCUUAAAGUUCGUUACUAAAUUAACCCAGAAAAUGCUUUGACCAUCAAACGAAUUUGAAAAGUGGAAUUUUAUCUGAGUACUCUAGUUCUUCUUUUUAUGUUUCUCAAAAACUGGAGACCGAAAAAUACUAAAAUAAAUUUUUUUUUAAAUGUUUUGGUAUCUUGUAUUGAAUUUCUUAAAUGCAUAAAGCUAGUCAUUUUAACCUAUAAAUUAUGUGGCGCGUAAUAUGUGUAAAUAUUAAUUUACAUGCAUAUAAAUUCAUAUUUAAAAGGUAAAAAAUAAAAAAAUAAAAUCAGCCAAUUUCUUCAUUGAUCUUCAUUUGAUAGAUUUGCAGGUCAAAAGUUAUUUAAGAAAUGUAUGCAGGACAAAAAGAGAAAACUGUGUAUGUGAAUUGUAGUGUCAAACUGAUUGAGGGGAGUCGUAGUUUUCUCAUAAAGCACAAAAGCUCAACUGUACCAUAGGAGCUGCAGCCAUGCUUACAAUCAUUAAAUGAAUCUUUAGGAA